AAGUGAUUUGGAAGUGUAAGCCAAAUAAACCCUUUCCUCCCCAAGUGUUCCAUUGCAGCAAUAGAAACCCUACGACAGACACCCCAGGACUCCCAACACACUGUUCAUUGUCUGCCCUCUUGGAGGCCUGGGGAUGAAUAGUUGGAGUCCAGUGGUGCCUGCUUUCUCAGACUGAGGUGCUAUCUACUGGGUGGCUUCAAAAAUAAGGCAUCCUCUCAUAGUUAUGAAAACCAGAAGUCCCAAAAUUGAGGUGUUGGCAGGACCAUGCUGCCUUCGGAGUCCUCAGGGAAGCCUUGCUUAACUCAUCCUAGCUCCUGGGGUUUUGCUGAAAGCCCUGGGCUCCUGACUUUGUCACUUCAACCUCAGUCAUUCUUAGCAUUAGCCUUCCAGGGUUUAGUUGUGUUUGUCUAAGGACACCAGUUCACAGUGGACUGGGGGCCACUAACUCCAUUCUGGCUUCCUCUUAACUAACGCCUGCCAGGACUACAGUUCCACCCAAGGGCACAUUCUCAGGUCCCAGGAGUUAGGGCUCUUGUGGUGUGAACACGCUCCAAUUUUUCACAAGCAUCUACCUUGAGUCAUCCCACUACGCAGUGACCCAUCCACAUACGCUAAGAGUUUACAGUGCAGGUCAUCUGGGCUUCUAAAUGAGGAUGAUUUGGCCUAAUAUUAGAAAGAAAAACUGGCAAACACUGGUUCUUUGUACCCCAGACCCCCUCACACUUACAUCCCAGAAGAAGCCUGUGGCUGAUAGCUAAAUCGCCGGGGCACAGCCUGGCCAGCAUAACCCUGACUAUUUUUAAAUGCCCAAUGUGAAGCUUGGUAAUUUUUAAAUUUUUAGGUAGCUUUUGCCAAAUGCAUGUGUGUGGUUUUGACCAGGAAGUUGUGGGUUUGUGCCUAAAAAAAAAAAAAAACUUUCAACAUUAAAAAUUCAGAAUUGGUGACCACUGAGAAAUCCAUAUAGCCUGAGGUAUGCAGAGUCACUCUGUCCCCUCUCUCUUACCCCAGAACACUCUGCCCCGCUCUCAGGCCAAAGGCUGGAAAUAGCCCUAUCUCGAAUCAUCUUCAGGGUUUUCAGAUCCCAGCAGGGCACUCUGGUCAGCUUCACCAGCCUUCACCUGGAAGGACAGACUCACACCCUCAGGGAAAGCAGCCUUCACAAGCCAACCAGUGUCUGGUUUCUGUUUCCAGAGCUAACCGUUGACUGAAGACUGUGUUCUAGGCCUCAGCCUUCUGACUGGAGCUCUCCAAUUCCUUCAAGCUAUGAGGAGGGAAGGGCUUCUCCCGACCGCAGCAGACUCUUCUGAGGGGCCAAGAGAGGAGAGCUGUGAGCUCAAAGCGCAAUUGGAUUCUGUCUGGUUAGCCACUCUGAGCCAGUGUCCUUGCUUGCACCAGAAGGGAGGCAAGCAUUUCACGUUAGAGGGCCCCGUGGCAAAUCCCACGGAGGUUUCAUGUGUUAGCGGCCAGUGUGUCCUUGAGUGAGAUAUUUAAGACGCUCACUCCUCACGACCUCUCCAGAGCUGAAGCACCUCACUAAGGGCAGAACGAGAGUUAAAGGUAACUAAGGUACACGGCCAGCUCCGUGUGGUUACAGCUGCUUUGGGCAAAGUAAGAUCAGAGUGCGGCUAUGUCUGGGGGCUCAUCGGUAUCAUUUCAGAAGCUUCCCCCUUCUCUCAAGAUAGGAGCCAGUCUAAGCAGAGGCUGCAAGCCCACUGGGCCCCCAGGGCCAGCAGAUCUCCAUCCAUUAGAGUAUCAGAAGAGAACUGAAGUGAGGUGUAAGAGCAUCCUCAAGGGUAACCUCAAAAGACUCCCGCUGAGCAGCUGCUCUCCCCUGUUCCCAGCCCCUCACCCAGGCUGUUCAGGGAACUGGGAAAGGAGCCACCACAACAGAACCUACACCCCAGACCUUUCUCUGAUUAGUGCUGUGAGGUAGAAAUCAUGACAUGACUCACACAUGAGAGGAGAAAACCGGAGCUUAAACAAGCAAAGCCUACCAGUGGGUGUGGGCGGGUGGCUCGAGUUUACCAGCUCUUGGCUCAUCACCAAACUGACUCGGGCCCUGUUCUAGGACCUCUGUGAGGGCUGGAUGUGCGCAGGGCCUAAGAAGGUGUCUUAUCGCUGUAAAAAGAAAUAAGGUGGCAGCCACUGGUGAGGACCAGUCCCAGCCCAUGGGCUCUCCUCUUUGGGUGGAGACAGGGCACACCCAAGGAACAUCUAGAAGACCUCAGAGGACCAACUGGAAAGUCGUACAACAGUCAGCAGGCCAAGACACUGAGUGCCCGAGCCAUUGAGAGGGGGUGCUCUUACAUGCACCAGAGAUCAAAAGGGGGACAGUGGUGACAUCACUAGGGAGCCACGCCAUUUCAGAUGAGACAAGGCUGGACUGCAAGAAGAUAUCACAUACGGUGGUGGGCUGGGCCACCACAGAGAGCUUCUUGCUUUCCUCCUGCCCAGUGUAUAGCCUCUUCUUCAGCUGAUGGGCAGGGUUAGUCAGCCACACUGGCAGUAGGAAUGAUAAGAGUCAAUGCAUUCAGGGCCAGAGAUGGUCCCAGAGCCAGUCAGCCACACUACCCUGAAACAGCCCUACCCAAUGGGGGCGAGGGUAAAGGUUAGCAGAACUGACCCUCUCAAAUACUUACAAAAGAAUCAAGAAAUACCAUUGAUAGGGUAUUUCUGGUACCACUAACCAGAAACGUGCUUCCAAGAAGGGUCUUUAUUCCACCCAAGCUUCCAGUCUGUUUCUGCGCUGCAAUAGCCUUGCUUCUGGGGAAGCUCCGAGGUUCCUAACCACUAUUGGGCUUCUUCAGAAUCCUCACAGCCCUCCACAGACUGUCCUGCCCUGGCUCACAGCCUUUGGCCAGGGGUCCUCCAUGUUCUGCAGCUCCCUCCCCUAACUGGGCACAGGUGGCCUUGUCCCCCCCAGACUGCCACCCACCUUCCUCACCCACCAGCCUUCCACUGCUGCCCCCCCCAGCAGAUCUGCUAUCUUAAACCCUCACAGCUCCUUCAAACACACAAACACCAUAGCCUGGCCUGGGGGGUCCCUCAGAUAACCCGUUCUCAUAUUCUUCCCCCCCCCCAAUGCCUUCAUCAGUACCCAGCACCCUAAGGUUUGGUCAUCCACAAGAGACUGGCUAGUUCCAGCCCUUGACCUGUUACUCUCUUCCCUGUCUGUCCCAUACCCCUGAAAGAUCGCCUACUCUGAGACGACCCCCCCCCACUCUGUCCCUAGUUAAUGCUACCCAGAUCCUACUGUGUAGGAGCCUGAGAAGCGUCAGGAAGCUGACCCUCCCUAAGGUCAACUCCAGCAUCUCCCAAACAGCACCACUCACCUGCAGCCAACCCAAGUUUCCUAAAAGAGCAUGUGAACUUGAAAUCUCUUCAAAGCAUCACUGUCUCCCGGAGAGCCCAGGGUCACUCCCUGAGCCAGUAUGAAAGGUGGGAUAAGUGGCACCUCCAAAUCUCUAGGAGGGACCUCUGGGGAUUCCUCUUCAUCAGUCUCAUCACCAGCCCAGCGCCCCUCCCACCCCCCACAGUGUACAGGCACCACCUCGGGGAACCAUAGCUUUUGCUUUUACGAAGCACUAAGUGUUUUCUCUGCUACAGAUUCAGGCCGUCACUCAGCAGAGCGGUGCAGAUGCUUCACACUGGACCCAACUAAGGUUGGAGCAUGAAGUGUGCUCCAAGGUCAAAGAGGGAAUUGGCAGCAAAGUUCUGAGACCCUUCUCUACACCUCUAGAGACGUGCCUGGGUGGAGCACCGGGUUUAAAGCUGCAAACAAGAAGCAUCAAAGACAUUGCAACAGGCUUGAUCAGAACUGACGUGGGCACAAGAAGCAGAGUUCUGGAUGGGCUGGCGAGAUGGCUCAGCAGAUCCUAAGCAAUUCUGGAAUGCCUCUGUUGGCUGGAUCAUGGAGAAUACAGAUUCGCUAAACCCAAGCCUCCAGGACAGAGGGACACCUGAAGGAGUCAAGGGGUCCUGGUGAACUCUCCACUCAGGUUUGAGGGUGCUCACUGAGUGGCAACUGCUCCAGUGGGGUCAAUGCUCCCCAGGUUUCCAGGGGAGCUGAGAACCCGAGGUGAGAUGACAAACGACUCCAUUUCUGAUGCAGGUGAAAAAUGCAUAUCUUUAACACACAAUACUAUACGAAGAAAAACACAAGACUGAAGCAGCCCCUGAACUGCCAGGUUACAAGGUCUGCUUGCAAAGGCCCCACAUCGCACAAGAGGGAAAAUGUGAACCCAAGGCAAAAGAGGCUUUGCGGAAGCUGAGGGUGUUUGUGAUGUGGUCACAGGUUAGCACUGUCCAGCAGUCUCUGGUUGGCUGCCCCUAAUCAAAUUCACAGAAGUUGGAGAGAGCAGUCAAUAGUAUAAAACUUAUCGGGGAGGCGUUGGUGGCGCACACCUUUGAUCCCAGCACUCAGGAGGCAGAGGCAGGCAGGUCUCUGAGUUCGAGGACAGCCUGGUCUACAGAGUGAGUUCCAGGACAGCCCAGGCUGUCACCCAGAGAAACCCUGUCUUGAAAAACAAAACACAAACAAAGCUGGAUGUAAUGGUGAAUGCUUGUAACCCCAAAACGGUGGGGGAGACGGGCAGGUGGACCCUUCGACUCACGGACAAGCCAGCCUCGUCUACCUAGAAACCUCAGGCCAGCAAAUACAACAAACAAACAAAUACAGGAAAUGGCACCUGAGAAACAAUGCCCAAGGCUGUCCUCUGGCACCCGUGUGAUCACACACACUCAGGCUCACAUACAUACACACAUGUACACACAUACUAAAACUAAGUUUUAAGUGUUCUCACCAAAUGCAGUAAGCAAUUGGAGCUGGAGAGGUGGCUCAGAGGUUAAGGGCAUUGGCUGCUCUUGCAGAAGACCCAGGUUCAAGUCCCAGCACCCACACAGUGGCUCACUACCAUCUGUAAUUCCAGUUCCAAGGGAUCUGAUGACUUCUUCCAGCCUUCUCAAACACCAGACACAUACAUGGUACACAGACAUAUAUGUAGACAAAACACCCAUGUGUACAAACUAAAUAAAUAAUAUUGAUUUUAAAAGUUUUUAAAGAGGAAUAAGUAAUUAAGGGAACUGAUAUGCUAAUUAGUUCCCUGCAACACUGCAACUGCAUACAUACAAACACUGCAAACUGUAUACAUACGUAUCAUAACAUUAUUUGUAUGACAUAAACAUAUAUAAUUAUUCUUUGUCUAUUUACAAUAACUAAUUUGGGCAAUCAAAUUCUCAUUGUCAAGUGUGAGCACCGUUGAAUGACACUGCUUAGAACCACGGGUCCUUAAGGUUCUCCUUUCUUGGGCAGGCACUGUAAUAGGAAAGUCCUCCUGUUGAGGAAAUGCCUUAUACAGUCAAGACCUCACCUCAGGAGGACUUGUCUCUGUCUUUUCCCACCUCAGGAGGGCUUGCCUUUGCUCUUUUUUUUUUUUUUUUUUUUUUUUUUUUUUUCCUGGCCCAGUAAGCUCAUCUUGCUGGGACAAGUCUCCCUAGCAGGUAGCAACCACACCAUUGCCUGGUUCUUCUGGGCCACAGAUUAUCUGUAAUUUGACUCUUUCUUGAUGGUUCCUUUUACUCUCCUCCUGAACCAGGCAAUGACUUAAUGUCCAUAUGCUCAGCCUGCCCUAGACACAGCCUCUCUAUGCAGCCCAGAGGCACACACAGAGGGAUGUCCCACAGCCACAAGGACAGGGUGCUCACAAGAUGAGGUCAAGACACUUUCCAGCCCCAGGGCUGGCUGUGCAGGUAACCAGAAUUGCCCUGGCCCAUGGUGUGAGCCUGGGCCGACUGGCUGCUGUAUAGAUGUUCAUCAAGAGGGCUGAGAGCAGAACGCUACACUGAGGACCAGGGCUUUCUCUGGGAGUACCAAAAGACUGUGUGUGCUUCAGAAGGGACAGUCUAUGGGAUAAAGGGCACAAGAAGCAGGAAAGCGCCACCAGGGAAGGGCAAGACAGCCUAUCCUGCUGCACUUGGUGACGUAAGUCACAUUCUGUUUCUCACUGGCGGGGGGGGGGGGGGGGACAGAUUGCCCAGGGGUCAGCAAACCUUUGUGAGACCGACGUCAAUGCCUCUAUAGCCCACUUCCCUCAGAGUCCCAGGAGCUUCCAUCCAUGCCAUGGGGCAAUCACAAGCCAGAGAUGCUGGCAGGGGUCAGCUUCCAUUCCUGGAAAUGCCCACCCAUGGGAAGAGAGAGACCUCAGUGCCCUAAUCAGUAACUUCCAUUGUGCUGUCUGCUGUAGGAGGUAGGUUCAUCUGUGGGGUGCUUGCCUGGGCUCAAGCCCUAUAAGCUGGGCAUAGAGGUACAUACUUAUAACCCCCUCUCGGGACAUGGAGGCAAAAGGAUCACCCUCAGCUACACAGCAAGGUUCAGGCCAGCCUGGGCUACAAGUGACUCCAGAGAACUGGGCGAAGACUGAGGACGGAGAGGCAGAACAGCUCCGCUGUCAGGGCCCAUGCCGGGCAGAUGUUAGAAGCUAGGGUUAGGUCACACCCUGGCCCUGUCACUUGCUUGAUUGGUAUAUCAGCCACAUCCCUUAUCCUUCUAACCAAAUACCUGACAGGAAGCAAUGAAGGAGAGGGACCGGUUUGAGUUUGCUGUGUCAGGGUAUAAUUCACCAUGACUGCAGAAGUGGUUCAUCAAUGAGGAGGCCAGAGCAUGAGGCUUCUGGACCUCACUUUGUUAGACCAGGAAGCAGAGCUAUCAUGCCAGACGCAGAACUAGGCCAUAACAUCUAAAACCCAUCGCCCUCCAGCUAGGCUCCACCUCCUAAAGGUUCCACAACCCCCUUAUCCCCCCCCAAAGAGUUAUCAAAGCUGAAGACCAAGUGGUCAGAUACUUGGUGACAUCUCACACUCAAGCCAUAGCAGGGUUUAUUUACUUAGCCUCCUUGUGCCUCUAUCUCCCGUCUGUGCAGAGGUGUACUCAGAGCAUAAGAUGAUAACAUGUUUGCCUUGUAUCCAUAUUAAAAAAUAAAAAAGACAGGUGUGGUUA
Molecule: non-coding RNA, 6994 nt
Organism: Cricetulus griseus (Chinese hamster)
Lineage: Eukaryota; Metazoa; Chordata; Mammalia; Rodentia; Cricetidae
Source: RefSeq, a predicted model, not a curated record